GACGAACGCUGGCGGCGUGCCUAAUACAUGCAAGUCGAACGCUUCUUUCCUCCCGAGUGCUUGCACUCAAUUGGAUAGAGGAGUGGCGGACGGGUGAGUAACACGUGGGUAACCUACCCAUCAGAGGGGGAUAACACUUGGAAACAGGUGCUAAUACCGCAUAACAGUUUAUGCCGCAUGGCAUAAGAGUGAAAGGCGCUUUCGGGUGUCGCUGAUGGAUGGACCCGCGGUGCAUUAGCUAGUUGGUGAGGUAGCGGCUCACCAAGGCCACGAUGCAUAGCCGACCUGAGAGGGUGAUCGGCCACACUGGGACUGAGACACGGCCCAGACUCCUACGGGAGGCAGCAGUAGGGAAUCUUCGGCAAUGGACGGAAGUCUGACCGAGCAACGCCGCGUGAGUGAAGAAGGUUUUCGGAUCGUAAAACUCUGUUGUUAGAGAAGAACAAGGACGUUAGUAACUGAACGUCCCCUGACGGUAUCUAACCAGAAAGCCACGGCUAACUACGUGCCAGCCGCCGCAGUAA
This 524-nucleotide ribosomal RNA is filed under the name uncultured bacterium. RNAcentral describes it as "partial 16S ribosomal RNA". It matches the Rfam family "Bacterial small subunit ribosomal RNA", at positions 28 to 523 of the family's 1533-position model. The record is from RNAcentral.